UACGAAGGGGGCUAGCGUUGCUCGGAAUCACUGGGCGUAAAGCGCACGUAGGCGGAUUGCUAAGUCAGGGGUGAAAUCCUGGAGCUCAACUCCAGAACUGCCUUUGAUACUGGCGACCUUGAGUCCGGGAGAGGUGAGUGGAACUGCGAGUGUAGAGGUGAAAUUCGUAGAUAUUCGCAAGAACACCAGUGGCGAAGGCGGCUCACUGGCCCGGUACUGACGCUGAGGCGCGAAAGCAUGGGGAGCGAACAGG
This 253-nucleotide ribosomal RNA is filed under the name uncultured bacterium. RNAcentral describes it as "partial 16S ribosomal RNA". It matches the Rfam family "Bacterial small subunit ribosomal RNA", at positions 524 to 776 of the family's 1533-position model. The record is from RNAcentral.